This 470-nucleotide ribosomal RNA is filed under the name Acinetobacter sp. oral taxon C51. RNAcentral describes it as "bacterial SSU rRNA". It matches the Rfam family "Bacterial small subunit ribosomal RNA", at positions 30 to 495 of the family's 1533-position model. Lineage: Bacteria; Pseudomonadati; Pseudomonadota; Gammaproteobacteria; Moraxellales; Moraxellaceae. The record is from RNAcentral.
AUUGAACGCUGGCGGCAGGCUUAACACAUGCAAGUCGAGCGGAGCGAGGGUGCUUGCACCUUAGCUUAGCGGCGGACGGGUGAGUAAUGCUUAGGAAUCUGCCUAUUAGUGGGGGACAACAUUCCGAAAGGGAUGCUAAUACCGCAUACGCCCUACGGGGGAAAGCAGGGGAUCUUCGGACCUUGCGCUAAUAGAUGAGCCUAAGUCGGAUUAGCUAGUUGGUGGGGUAAAGGCCUACCAAGGCGACGAUCUGUAGCGGGUCUGAGAGGAUGAUCCGCCACACUGGGACUGAGACACGGCCCAGACUCCUACGGGAGGCAGCAGUGGGGAAUAUUGGACAAUGGGGGGAACCCUGAUCCAGCCAUGCCGCGUGUGUGAAGAAGGCCUUUUGGUUGUAAAGCACUUUAAGCGAGGAGGAGGCGCUCUAGGAUAAUACCCUAGAUGCGUGGACGUACUCGCAGAUAGCCCCG